UACGGGGGGAGCAAGCGUUGUUCGGAUUUACUGGGCGUAAAGGGCGCGUAGGCGGCGUGACAAGUCACUUGUGAAAUCCGCCGGUUAACUCGGAACGGUCAAGUGAUACUGUCGGACUAGAGUACAGAAGGGGCAACUGGAAUUCUCGGUGUAGCGGUGAAAUUCGUAGAUAUCGGGAGGAACACCAGUGGCGAAGGCGGCGAUCUGGGAAGAUACUGACGCUGAGGUGCGAAAGCGUGGGGAGCAAACAGG
Molecule: ribosomal RNA, 252 nt
Filed under: uncultured bacterium
Lineage: Bacteria
Description: partial 16S ribosomal RNA
Rfam family: Bacterial small subunit ribosomal RNA
Source: RNAcentral